GCUCCAAGCUGCGGCCAGCCUGGCCUUGAACACUUCCAGGGAUGGGGCAGCCACGAUUUCCCUGGGUUUACGGGCACAAGAGGGAAUUUCCAGCAGGAACUGAGGGGUUUCCCUUGCUCUGCCUGGCCCUAGCAGGGCUUUGGGAGGCAGAGGCUGUGGGAACAGGAGCUUUGUCCACUGCCUUGGGGGAGUCUCUGAUGUCCCAAAACCCAGCAGAGCAAGUGGUUGUGGUUUAACAUCCCAUUCAAAGGAGAUGCCAGGCCAGGAACGGGAAUGGACUGCAGAGCAGGGAUGGUGCCCAGCAGAGGGGUGACUGUCCAGGGGGUCCCAGCAGUCCAUCCCUGCUGCCCAGGUUUGGGAUGAGCAGGCUGGUGACUGUCCCUGUGCUUGCUCUGCAGGAUGAGGAAGCUAGGCCUGCUGAGGAGGAAGAUGAGGAAGUGUGUGAGGAUGGAGACAGCGGCCACCAAAGGCUGGGGAAGGCACAGAUCCAGAUGCUGGGAUUGCCUCUGGGCACAUGUGCUGAGCUCUCCCUGCAGGGAACUGUCAGGCCUUAACAGCUGUGAGGUUGUGUUCUUCUCAGUGGGGAACUGGAGAUAAUAAUUAAUUAAUUAAUUGAUUGCAGUAAUGUUUUCUGAACCUUUCCCCUUUCCUGGUAGAUCUUCUCUCUCUGCCUCUGAAUUUACAGCUGUUCCCUGCUGUCAUUGGCCCUGCCUGAAUUCCUUGCAGCUCCUCACUGGGAAAACCUGGGAUAACUUCAAGGGGACAGAGGAGACAUUUUUAGCUGAAAACCUGGGGUGACUGAGAGGGGACACAAGAAUUGUUUGUGUAGGAAAAUGGGAGGGGAUGUCGAGCGGAGCAAGGUGGCAUUUUUGAGGGAAAAGCUGAGGUGAUGUUUAGGGGAGAGAAUGCACAUUUUUGGGGCAGAAAAGAGUUAAUAUUGUACAGGAAGGAAAAACUGGGGGGUAAAACCUGAUGUAAUCUGUAGGGGACAGAAUGAAUAUUUUGGAGUAAAAAUGAGGUACUCAGUAGUAGACAAAGAAGGAAAAGUUUGGAGGCAAAACUUGACAAAGUCUCAAGAGCAGAGAAUGAACACUUGGAGGGAAAAAUGAGGUGAUGAGUACUGAGCAUGUGGGGAAAAUUUGGGGGCUAAAUCUGAACUAAUCUCUAGGGGAGAGCAUGAACACACUGAGGUAAUAUGAGGGAAUCAGUUGUGGGCAGAUAGGGAAACUUGUGUAAAAAUAAUAUUAAAUAAGCUGUAGAAAGAACAUUUUGAGGUAAAAAUGAGGUAAGCAGUAGUAGACAGAUGGAAAACUUUGGGGGUAAAUCUUGAUAGAAGCUACAUGGUAGAAAGGAAAUAAAUAUUGAAGGAA
Corvus hawaiiensis (hawaiian crow) is the source of this 1370-nucleotide long non-coding RNA. RefSeq lists it as uncharacterized. Lineage: Eukaryota; Metazoa; Chordata; Aves; Passeriformes; Corvidae. The record is from RefSeq and is a predicted model, not a curated record. The transcript has 2 exons.